This 244-nucleotide ribosomal RNA is filed under the name uncultured bacterium. RNAcentral describes it as "partial 16S ribosomal RNA". It matches the Rfam family "Bacterial small subunit ribosomal RNA", at positions 17 to 240 of the family's 1533-position model. The record is from RNAcentral.
AUCUGGCUCAGGAUGAACGCUGGCGGCGUGCUUAACACAUGCAAGUCGAACGAAGCACUUUAUUUGAUUUCCUUCGGGACUGAUUAUUUUGUGACUGAGUGGCGGACGGGUGAGUAACGCGUGGGUAACCUGCCUUGUACAGGGGGAGUAACAGUUGGAAACGGCUGCUAAUACCGCAUAAGCGCACGGCAUCGCAUGAUGCAGUGUGAAAAACUCCGGUGGUAUAAGAUGGACCCGCGUUGGA